GAUGAAGAACGCAGCAAAAUGCGAUAAGUAAUGUGAAUUGCAGAAUUCAGUGAAUCAUCGAAUCUUUGAACGCACAUUGCGCCCGCCAGUAUUCUGGCAGGCAUGCCUGUUCGAGCGUCAUUUCAACCCUCAAGCCCUCGGGUUUGGUGUUGGGGAUCGGCGAGCCUUUCUGGCAAGCCGGCCCCGAAAUCUAGUGGCGGUCUCGCUGCAGCCUCCAUUGCGUAGUAGUAAAACCCUCGCAACUGGAACGCGGCGCGGCCAAGCCGUUAAACCCCCAACUUCUGAAUGUUGACCUCGGAUCAGGUAGGAAUACCCGCUGAACUUAAGCAUAUCAAUAAGCGGAGGA
RNAcentral lists this unclassified non-coding RNA (346 nucleotides) under soil metagenome. RNAcentral describes it as "partial contains 5.8S ribosomal RNA, internal transcribed spacer 2, and large subunit ribosomal RNA". The stretch from base 1 to 120 matches the Rfam family "5.8S ribosomal RNA", at positions 35 to 154 of the family's 154-position model. The record is from RNAcentral.